CGGAGGUGGAGGAUAAGAGAGCGCAGAGAGCAACAGAGAGACUGAGAAAUGGAGAAGUACUUCGGAAACGCAUACAGAGGCGACCCGGGGGUCCCACACGCCGACCCGGAACGAUUUGUGAACAUAUGGAUCGGGUCCGCCGCCUUCUCAGCCCUCACCUGGGUCAAUCCCUACAUGUGGCAGCUCUCCAAUCAGUUCAAUUGGCAUGACAAAGCAAUGCUGUUUGAGCAGUACCACUGGAAGAAGGCCAUGAAGAAAGGGGAGCCCUACAAAUUUAAGUGGAACGAGUACAUGGACAGGGACCACAGGGAGUCCUACUAUUUCAACUGGCCUGUUUACUUCCCUUAGCUGUUUUUACUUGUAUGUUGAAAUGGGCAUGCUCUUGUUUCUAAUUCGACUUAGCUGAAACUCUCAUAGCAUGAAGGGUUAUAAGGUGAUUGAGUUUGAAAAUGAUUUCCGCACGCCCAUUGCCUUGGAAUCCAGGAACAUAAAUAAACACGGGCGUGCGGAAAAGUGGUUUGCAAAAAUCAUUUCCUUUGAAUCUCUGCAUUUGUAACGAUAUUUGACAAGCAUCGUAACAUAUUUUGUCAUUCUUAUUCAGACA
Molecule: non-coding RNA, 604 nt
Organism: Malus domestica (apple)
Lineage: Eukaryota; Viridiplantae; Streptophyta; Magnoliopsida; Rosales; Rosaceae
Source: RefSeq, a predicted model, not a curated record